UCCUGACUGACCGAUAGUGAACCAGUACCGUGAGGGAAAGGCGAAAAGAACCCCGGCGAGGGGAGUGAAAAAGAACCUGAAACCGUGUACGUACAAGCAGUGGGAGCACGCUUAGGCGUGUGACUGCGUACCUUUUGUAUAAUGGGUCAGCGACUUAUAUUCUGUAGCAAGGUUAACCGAAUAGGGGAGCCGAAGGGAAACCGAGUCUUAACUGGGCGUUAAGUUGCAGGGUAUAGACCCGAAACCCGGUGAUCUAGCCAUGGGCAGGUUGAAGGUUGGGUAACACUAACUGGAGGACCGAACCGACUAAUGUUGAAAAAUUAGCGGAUGACUUGUGGCUGGGGGUGAAAGGCCAAUCAAACCGGGAGAUAGCUGGUUCUCCCCGAAAGCUAUUUAGGUAGCGCCUCGUGAAUUCAUCUCCGGGGGUAGAGCACUGUUUCGGCAAGGGGGUCAUCCCGACUUACCAACCCGAUGCAAACUGCGAAUACCGGAGAAUGUUAUCACGGGAGACACACGGCGGGUGCUAACGUCCGUCGUGAAGAGGGAAACAACCCAGACCGCCAGCUAAGGUCCCAAAGUCAUGGUUAAGUGGGAAACGAUGUGGGAAGGCCCAGACAGCCAGGAUGUUGGCUUAGAAGCAGCCAUCAUUUAAAGAAAGCGUAAUAGCUCACUGGUCGAGUCGGCCUGCGCGGAAGAUGUAACGGGGCUAAACCAUGCACCGAAGCUGCGGCAGCGACGCUUAUGCGUUGUUGGGUAGGGGAGCGUUCUGUAAGCCUGCGAAGGUGUGCUGUGAGGCAUGCUGGAGGUAUCAGAAGUGCGAAUGCUGACAUAAGUAACGAUAAAGCGGGUGAAAAGCCCGCUCGCC
Molecule: ribosomal RNA, 865 nt
Filed under: Shigella sonnei
Lineage: Bacteria; Pseudomonadati; Pseudomonadota; Gammaproteobacteria; Enterobacterales; Enterobacteriaceae
Description: partial 23S ribosomal RNA
Rfam family: Bacterial large subunit ribosomal RNA
Source: RNAcentral